Molecule: transfer RNA, 74 nt
Filed under: Cajanus cajan (pigeon pea)
Lineage: Eukaryota; Viridiplantae; Streptophyta; Magnoliopsida; Fabales; Fabaceae
Description: tRNA gene-KK1_012311
Source: RNAcentral
UGGCCCAUGCAGGUCUCGAACCUGCGACCUUCGCGUUAUUAGCACGACGCUCUAACCAAUCAUGACAGAAAUUA